CAGUGUUCCUUGUGUAAUGGAAACUUUUAUUCCGCUCCUUGUGGCAGUAAAAGAAUUGCAAAGAAAAUUACUCCAGUCAACUGAGACAUGCUGUUUCCACGUCCUCCUUCCUUCCAGAUGAUAUCUGUCAGGAUAUGGAUUUAGAAGUCAGCAGUCUGGAAGUGAAAUCCCUUAGAACUGAAUGUGGAAAUGACCAGUGCAAAGGCUAAAACCUCUUAAGGGCAAGGAACACAAAUAGGAGGGAAAAAAAUAAGGCAAUCUUUUCAGACAAAGGAACAGCCUUUUGUGGGGAAAGAACAAAGGAAAAAAACAGAAGAAAGUGAUAAAGAGGACAUUUGGAACACUCAACAGAGAGAUGAGGAAGCAGUGUGAGCAACUUGGCAGAGUGUAAAAAAAGGAUUUUCAUUCUGCACAACGCAGAUCUUUGGAACGGCUCAAUAUAUCAC
RNAcentral lists this long non-coding RNA (446 nucleotides) under Gallus gallus (chicken). RNAcentral's name for it is "long non-coding RNA NONGGAT008862". The record is from RNAcentral. Lineage: Eukaryota; Metazoa; Chordata; Aves; Galliformes; Phasianidae.